This 287-nucleotide ribosomal RNA is filed under the name uncultured Rhizobiaceae bacterium. RNAcentral's name for it is "partial 16S ribosomal RNA". It matches the Rfam family "Bacterial small subunit ribosomal RNA", at positions 1094 to 1382 of the family's 1533-position model. The record is from RNAcentral. Lineage: Bacteria; Pseudomonadati; Pseudomonadota; Alphaproteobacteria; Hyphomicrobiales; Rhizobiaceae.
GAGCGCAACCCUGCCCUUAGUUGCCAGCAUUUGUUGGGCACUCUAAGGGGACUGCCGGUGAUAAGCCGAGAGGAAGGUGGGGAUGACGUCAAGUCCUCAUGGCCCUUACGGGGCUGGGCUACACACGUGCUACAAUGGUGGUGACAGUGGGCAGCGAGACCGCGAGGUCGAGCUAAUCUCCAAAAAGCCAUCUCAGUUCGGAUUGCACUCUGCAACUCGAGUGCAUGAAGUUGGAAUCGCUAGUAAUCGCAGAUCAGCAUGCUGCGGUGAAUACGUUCCCGGGCCUU